UGAACAUUGACUUUUGUCAUGAGACUUAAUUUGCCUGUUGUAUAAUUGUGUGCAAUGUCUCGCUGCUUUCCAUUUCCACCACCGGGAUAUGAAAACAAGGCUAGAUCAGAAGAUGCAGACUUGCUAAAAGAGCUGGUGUGAACCCUCCAACCAUGAAAGAUUUGGAUGCCUUACUUGCGUUAAGUGCUUCAACCAGAAUUCUAAUGGUUCACUAACAGAAAACAUACCACAAACAAUUGGCCGGUAGAAUCAGAACCCGUUUGUUCCCGUUGAACAGGCUGAAGGAUAUCAGGUCACAAGGCAGAGAUGGUGAUUUUUGAAGCAGCUAGAGCAAUUACAGAAUUGAGUGGUGUCAGUAGUCGGGAAUUGACUCCUGCAAUUACUGUGCUAUAACUCUUUUUAAGCUCUUCCAAGCCAGUUCUUAGGUUUUAAAUCUUACCUUUAUUCAUCCACUAGAGUGGAGAAGAUGGACAAGGUUAUCAUCUUUACCUGGAUAAUCUUGUAGAGGAUUUAUCUUUUCCUAUGUUGCUUUUGUUUAUGAGAGAUUGAGAGGGAGAGAACUGCUUAUGUUAUACUGUUCAUGCAGAUAGCAUUGGUAUAGUUGAUGAAGCAAUCACAUUCUAUAGAGCCAAUGUCUUCUUCAAAAACUUUGAUAUUCAAAGUUCAGCAGAUAAGCUCCUUAUCUAUUUGACAUUAUACAUAAGGAGU
Ipomoea nil (Japanese morning glory) is the source of this 708-nucleotide long non-coding RNA. RefSeq lists it as uncharacterized. The transcript is spliced from 3 exons. NCBI's taxonomy places the organism in Eukaryota, Viridiplantae, Streptophyta, Magnoliopsida, Solanales, Convolvulaceae. The record is from RefSeq and is a predicted model, not a curated record.